RNAcentral lists this ribosomal RNA (253 nucleotides) under uncultured bacterium. RNAcentral describes it as "partial 16S ribosomal RNA". It matches the Rfam family "Bacterial small subunit ribosomal RNA", at positions 524 to 776 of the family's 1533-position model. The record is from RNAcentral.
UACAGAGGUGACAAACGUUGUCCGGAAUUAUUGGGCGUAAAGAGCUCGUAGGUGGCUUGUCACGUCGGGUGUGAAAGCUUGGGGCUUAACUCCAGGUCUGCAUUCGAUACGGGCUGGCUAGAGGUAGGUAGGGGAGAACGGAAUUCCUGGUGUAGCGGUGAAAUGCGCAGAUAUCAGGAGGAACACCGGUGGCGAAGGCGGUUCUCUGGGCCUUACCUGACGCUGAGGAGCGAAAGCGUGGGGAGCGAACAGG